Molecule: long non-coding RNA, 522 nt
Filed under: Carica papaya (papaya)
Lineage: Eukaryota; Viridiplantae; Streptophyta; Magnoliopsida; Brassicales; Caricaceae
Description: long non-coding RNA (CPAP_LNC003363)
Source: RNAcentral
UCUCGGUUUUUGCCUCCGACGAGGUCCUUCCCGGCCUCCGUUCGAUGCAAUUUUUAUAUCACCGUGAUCACCAUUCUUUUCUCUACAGGUUGACCGGAGCCGAAUCACCAAACCACGAACCUCGCCGGAGAGCCGCCGCACCCGAGAGCGCCGCCGCCAGUAAGCUCCGCUUCUCCGUGAUUUUUUGGCCCCCCGAGGGCCCUAGGGUUGUUUUCUCGCAGGGACCGAUGCGAGUGUGGCCGAAUUCGGCGGAGCCGCCGUGCCGGAGUUGCGGUAUUGGCCAAAAAGGGGCCCUGAGCCUAAUUUGAGAUUUUUUGGAACACGUGCAGGUACCGUUAGUGUGUUUCAGUUCCCCGGAAAAAAUUCAGAGAAAAUUAGGGACGGCCUGUAGGCGCACUGUGAAUCGUAUUCGGAUCCCGAAAAUAAGUAAGGACCCCUCACCCUAUUUCCUAUCACGGUAUUAAAGUUCAAAAUGAUAAAACGGUAUUUCUUGAAUUAACGCAUGUGUGAAAUUGCUUAAGG